This 438-nucleotide ribosomal RNA is filed under the name uncultured Oxalobacteraceae bacterium. RNAcentral's name for it is "bacterial SSU rRNA". It matches the Rfam family "Bacterial small subunit ribosomal RNA", at positions 8 to 448 of the family's 1533-position model. Lineage: Bacteria; Pseudomonadati; Pseudomonadota; Betaproteobacteria; Burkholderiales; Oxalobacteraceae. The record is from RNAcentral.
AGAGUUUGAUCCUGGCUCAGAUUGAACGCUGGCGGCAUGCCUUACACAUGCAAGUCGAACGGCAGCGCGGGAGCAAUCCUGGCGGCGAGUGGCGAACGGGUGAGUAAUAUAUCGGAACGUGCCUUAGAGUGGGGGAUAACUAGUCGAAAGACUAGCUAAUACCGCAUACGACCUACGGGUGAAAGUGGGGGAUCGCAAGACCUCAUGCUCUUAGAGCGGCCGAUAUCUGAUUAGCUAGUUGGUGGGGUAAAAGCCUACCAAGGCGACGAUCAGUAGCUGGUCUGAGAGGACGACCAGCCACACUGGGACUGAGACACGGCCCAGACUCCUACGGGAGGCAGCAGUGGGGAAUUUUGGACAAUGGGGGCAACCCUGAUCCAUCAAUGCCGCGUGUGUGAAGAAGGCCUUCCGGUUGUAAAACACUUUUGUCCGGAAAGA